UUACGGCCAUAUCAUGUUGAAACAACGGUUCCCGUACGAUCACUGAAGUUAAGCCAUGUCGAGCCUGGUCAGUAACUAAAUGGGUAACUGCUUGCGAAUACCAGGUGCUGUAA
RNAcentral lists this ribosomal RNA (113 nucleotides) under Acanthosepion pharaonis. Lineage: Eukaryota; Metazoa; Mollusca; Cephalopoda; Sepiida; Sepiidae. The record is from RNAcentral.